GACGAACGCUGGCGGCGUGCUUAACGCAUGCAAGUCGAACGGAAAGGCCCUGCUUUUGUGGGGUGCUCGAGUGGCGAACGGGUGAGUAACACGUGAGUAACCUGCCCUUGACUUUGGGAUAACUUCAGGAAACUGGGGCUAAUACCGGAUAGGAGCCCCUGCUGCAUGGUGGGGGUUGGAAAGUUUCGGCGGUUGGGGAUGGACUCGCGGCUUAUCAGCUUGUUGGUGGGGUAGUGGCUUACCAAGGCUUUGACGGGUAGCCGGCCUGAGAGGGUGACCGGCCACAUUGGGACUGAGAUACGGCCCAGACUCCUACGGGAGGCAGCAGUGGGGAAUAUUGCACAAUGGGCGGAAGCCUGAUGCAGCAACGCCGCGUGCGGGAUGACGGCCUUCGGGUUGUAAACCGCUUUCGCCUGUGACGAAGCGUGAGUGACGGUAAUGGGUAAAGAAGCACCGGCUAACUACGUG
Molecule: ribosomal RNA, 468 nt
Filed under: uncultured bacterium
Lineage: Bacteria
Description: partial 16S ribosomal RNA
Rfam family: Bacterial small subunit ribosomal RNA
Source: RNAcentral